GAUGAACGCUGGCGGCGUGCCUAAUACAUGCAAGUCGAGCGAACAGACGAGGAGCUUGCUCCUUCGACGUUAGCGGCGGACGGGUGAGUAACACGUAGGUAACCUACCUAUAAGACUGGGAUAACUUCGGGAAACCGGAGCUAAUACCGGAUAAUAUUUCGAACCGCAUGGUUCGAUAGUGAAAGAUGGCUUUGCUAUCACUUAUAGAUGGACCUGCGCCGUAUUAGCUAGUUGGUAAGGUAACGGCUUACCAAGGCAACGAUACGUAGCCGACCUGAGAGGGUGAUCGGCCACACUGGAACUGAGACACGGUCCAGACUCAUACGGGAGGCAGCAGUAGGGAAUCUUCCGCAAUGGGCGAAAGCCUGACGGAGCAACGCCGCGUGAGUGAAGAAGGUCUUCGGAUCGUAAAACGAUGUUAUGAGGGAAGAACAAACGUGUAAGUAACUGUGCACGUCUUGACGGUACCUAAGCAGAAAGCCACGGCUAACUACGU
RNAcentral lists this ribosomal RNA (496 nucleotides) under uncultured bacterium. RNAcentral's name for it is "partial 16S ribosomal RNA". It matches the Rfam family "Bacterial small subunit ribosomal RNA", at positions 28 to 506 of the family's 1533-position model. The record is from RNAcentral.